GACGAACGCUGGCGGCGUGCCUAAUACAUGCAAGUCGAGCGGACGUUUUUGAAGCUUGCUUCAAAAACGUUAGCGGCGGACGGGUGAGUAACACGUGGGCAACCUGCCUUAUCGACUGGGAUAACUCCGGGAAACCGGGGCUAAUACCGGAUAACAUCUAGCACCUCCUGGUGCCAGAUUAAAAGAGGGCCUUCGGGCUCUCCCGGUGAGAUGGGCCCGCGGAGCAUCAGCUAGUUGGGGAGGUAAUGGCACCCCAAGGCGACAAUGCGUAGCCGACCUGAGAGGGUGAUCGGCCACACUGGGACUGAGACACGGCCCAGACUCCUACGGGAGGCAGCAGUAGGGAAUCUUCCGCAAUGGACGAAAGUCUGACGGAGCAACGCCGCGUGAGUGAUGAAGGGUUUCGGCUCGUAAAGCUCUGUUAUGAGGGAAGAACACGUACCGUUCGAAUAGGGCGGUACCUUGACGGUACCUCAUCAGAAAGCCACGGCUGACUACGUGCCAGCCGCCGCGGUAA
RNAcentral lists this ribosomal RNA (517 nucleotides) under uncultured bacterium. RNAcentral's name for it is "partial 16S ribosomal RNA". It matches the Rfam family "Bacterial small subunit ribosomal RNA", at positions 28 to 523 of the family's 1533-position model. The record is from RNAcentral.